CAGCCGCGGGAACACCGGCGGCCCGAGUGGUGAUCGUGAUUAUGGGUCUAAAGGGUCCGUAGCCGGUUUGGUCAGUCCUCCGGGAAAUCUGAUAGCUCAACUAUUAGGCUUUCGGGGGAUACUGCCAGACUUGGAACCGGGAGAGGUAAGAGGUACUACAGGGGUAGGAGUGAAAUCUUGUAAUCCCUGUGGGACCACCUGUGGCGAAGGCGUCUUACCAGAACGGGUUCGACGGUGAGGGACGAAAGCUGGGGGCACGAACCGGAUUAGAUACCCGGGUAGUCCCAGCCGUAAACGAUGCUCGCUAGGUGUCAGGCAUGGCGCGACCGUGUCUGGUGCCGCAGGGAAGCCGUGAAGCGAGCCACCUGGGAAGUACGGCCGCAAGGCUGAAACUUAAAGGAAUUGGCGGGGGAGCACAACAACGGGUGGAAGCCUGCGGUUUAAUUGGACUCAACGCCGGACAACUCACCGGGGGCGACAGCAAUAUGUAGGCCAAGCUGAAGACUUUGCCUGAAUCGCUGAGGGGUGGUGCAUGG
RNAcentral lists this ribosomal RNA (536 nucleotides) under uncultured archaeon. Its description in RNAcentral is "bacterial SSU rRNA". It matches the Rfam family "Archaeal small subunit ribosomal RNA", at positions 462 to 997 of the family's 1478-position model. The record is from RNAcentral.